GAUGAACGCUGGCGGCGUGCCUAAUACAUGCCAGUCGAGCGAACAGACGAGGAGCUUGCUCCUCUGACGUUAGCGGCGGACGGGUGAGUAACACGUGGAUAACCUACCUAUAAGACUGGGAUAACUUCGGGAAACCGGAGCUAAUACCGGAUAAUAUAUUGAACCGCAUGGUUCAAUAGUGAAAGACGGUUUUGCUGUCACUUAUAGAUGGAUCCGCGCCGCAUUAGCUAGUUGGUAAGGUAACGGCUUACCAAGGCAACGAUGCGUAGCCGACCUGAGAGGGUGAUCGGCCACACUGGAACUGAGACACGGUCCAGACUCCUACGGGAGGCAGCAGUAGGGAAUCUUCCGCAAUGGGCGAAAGCCUGACGGAGCAACGCCGCGUGAGUGAUGAAGGUCUUCGGAUCGUAAAACUCUGUUAUUAGGGAAGAACAAAUGUGUAAGUAGCUAUGCACGUCUUGACGGUACCUAAUCAGAAAGCCACGGCUAACUACGUG
RNAcentral lists this ribosomal RNA (497 nucleotides) under uncultured bacterium. Its description in RNAcentral is "partial 16S ribosomal RNA". It matches the Rfam family "Bacterial small subunit ribosomal RNA", at positions 28 to 507 of the family's 1533-position model. The record is from RNAcentral.